RNAcentral lists this ribosomal RNA (468 nucleotides) under uncultured bacterium. RNAcentral's name for it is "partial 16S ribosomal RNA". It matches the Rfam family "Bacterial small subunit ribosomal RNA", at positions 28 to 507 of the family's 1533-position model. The record is from RNAcentral.
GACGAACGCUGGCGGCGUGCUUAACACAUGCAAGUCGAACGGAAAGGCCCUGCUUUUGUGGGGUGCUCGAGUGGCGAACGGGUGAGUAACACGUGAGUAACCUGCCCUUGACUUUGGGAUAACUUCAGGAAACUGGGGCUAAUACCGGAUAGGAGCUCCUGCUGCAUGUUGGGGGUUGGAAAGUGUCGGCGGUUGGGGAUGGACUCGCGGCUUAUCAGCUUGUUGGUGGGGUAGUGGCUUACCAAGGCUUUGACGGGUAGCCGGCCUGAGAGGGUGACCGGCCACCUUGGGACUGAGAUACGGCCCAGACUGCUACGGGAGGCAGCAGUGGGGAAUAUUGCAGAACGGGGGGAAGCCUGAUGCAGCAACGCCGCGUGCGGGAUGACGGCCUUCGGGUUGUAAACCGAUUUCGCAUGUGACGAAGAGUGAGUGACGGUAAUGGGUAAAGAAGCACCGGCUAACUACGUG